UGGUGGCGAUGCGCUUAGGGGACACACCCGUUCCCAUCCCGAACACGAUGGUUAAGACCUAAGCGGCCGAUGGUACUGCACUGGAGACGGUGUGGGAGAGCAGGUGGCUGCCA
Molecule: ribosomal RNA, 113 nt
Filed under: Carnobacterium sp. N15.MGS-251
Lineage: Bacteria; Bacillati; Bacillota; Bacilli; Lactobacillales; Carnobacteriaceae
Source: RNAcentral